Molecule: unclassified non-coding RNA, 200 nt
Filed under: Hevea brasiliensis (rubber tree)
Lineage: Eukaryota; Viridiplantae; Streptophyta; Magnoliopsida; Malpighiales; Euphorbiaceae
Source: RNAcentral
AGUCGAUCUAAGGCCUCAGGACUUGCAUUUUUCAAUUUAUCAAUCAAGAAAAUGUGCAGUAUUCAGAGAUCAUGUGGUUCAAUGGUGGAUAUUGACAGUGUAGAUUGUAAGAGUUCGUACGUAAAGGGUUGAAAUGCCAGGCAUCUACCCGGGGUUUCACCUAAUUUUUACAAUCUAAACUGUCAAUAUCCACCAUUGAA